This 251-nucleotide ribosomal RNA is filed under the name uncultured bacterium. RNAcentral describes it as "partial 16S ribosomal RNA". It matches the Rfam family "Bacterial small subunit ribosomal RNA", at positions 524 to 776 of the family's 1533-position model. The record is from RNAcentral.
UACAGAGGGGGCAAGCGUUGUUCGGAAUUACUGGGCGUAAAGGGCGCGUAGGCGGCCUGCUAAGUCGAACGUGAAAUCCCUGGGCUCAACCCAGGAACUGCGUCCGAUACUGGUUGGCUUGAAUCCGGGAGAGGGAUGUGGAAUUCCAGGUGUAGCGGUGAAAUGCGUAGAUAUCUGGAGGAACACCGGUGGCGAAGGCGACAUCCUGGACCGGUAUUGACGCUGAGGCGCGAAAGCCAGGGAGCAACGGG